UGGGUUAGUCCGCAACGAGCGCACCCUAUCCUUAUUUGCCAGCGCGUUAUGGCGGGAACUCUAAGGAGACUGCCGGUGAUAAACCGGAGGAAGGUGGGGACGACGUCAAGUCAUCAUGGCCCUUACGGGAUGGGCUACGCACGUGCUACAAUGGCAAGUACAGAGGGCUGCAAUACCGCGAGGUGGAGCGAAUCCCAGAAAGCUUGUCGUAGUCCGGAUUGGAGUCUGCAACUCGACUCCAUGAAGUCGGAAUCGCUAGUAAUCGUGGAUCAGAAUGCCACGGUGAAUACGUUCCCGGGCCUUGUACACACCGCCCGUCACACCAUGGGAGUGGGAUGCAAAAGAAGUGGCUAGUUUAACCUUCGGGAGGACGGUCACCACUUUGUGUUUCAUGACUGGGGUGAAGUCGUAACAAGGUAGCCCUAGGGGAACCUGGGGCUGGAUCACCUCCUU
RNAcentral lists this ribosomal RNA (453 nucleotides) under uncultured Colwelliaceae bacterium. Its description in RNAcentral is "bacterial SSU rRNA". It matches the Rfam family "Bacterial small subunit ribosomal RNA", at positions 1076 to 1532 of the family's 1533-position model. Lineage: Bacteria; Pseudomonadati; Pseudomonadota; Gammaproteobacteria; Alteromonadales; Colwelliaceae. The record is from RNAcentral.